This 392-nucleotide long non-coding RNA is filed under the name Crocodylus porosus (Australian saltwater crocodile). Its description in RNAcentral is "lncRNA (ENSCPRG00005018861.1)". Lineage: Eukaryota; Metazoa; Chordata; Crocodylia; Crocodylidae. The record is from RNAcentral.
AUGGAACAGGCACAGUUAUUUACACCUAAGAGGAGGGGAGUCCACGGGAUCCACACUGUAACCAGGAUAACACCAUACCUGUCUCAACACCCAGGAGAAACAGCAUGUGAAUACACAACUGCAGCAGCUGGCAGAUACAUUCAGGAAAACAACUGGUCCCUGUCAACACCACCCAACCUUCCGAGGCCAAACAAGCAGUUACAAAGUAACAAAUAAAGCCCCGUGUUUUGUUUUGCCAAUAGCCUUCUGUGUUUUCCCCAUCCUCUUUUGUUCAGAAUGUGCAACACCAUUAAAAGGACCUGAUUAGAACAAAGGAACAGGGAUCACUGUAACAAUUAUGAUAGAAAUGAAAAUGCAUAAUAAACCCCCCCAAAAUCAGGAAAAUAAUGUCA